Molecule: ribosomal RNA, 416 nt
Filed under: uncultured bacterium
Lineage: Bacteria
Description: bacterial SSU rRNA
Rfam family: Bacterial small subunit ribosomal RNA
Source: RNAcentral
UGGGGAAUAUUGGACAAUGGGCGAAAGCCUGAUCCAGCAAUGCCGCGUGAGUGAUGAAGGCCUUAGGGUUGUAAAGCUCUUUUUACCAGGGAUGAUAAUGACAGUACCUGGAGAAUAAGCUCCGGCUAACUCCGUGCCAGCAGCCGCGGUAAUACGGAGGGAGCUAGCGUUGUUCGGAAUUACUGGGCGUAAAGCGUACGUAGGCGGUGACUCAAGUCAGAGGUGAAAGCCUGGAGCUCAACUCCAGAACUGCCUUUGAAACUAGGUCGCUAGAAUCACGGAGAGGUGAGUGGAAUUCCGAGUGUAGAGGUGAAAUUCGUAGAUAUUCGGAAGAACACCAGUGGCGAAGGCGGACUCACUGGCCCGAUACUGACGCUGAGGUGCGAAAGCGUGGGGAGCAAACAGGAUUAGAUACC